CGACUACAAGGGGAGAAAAAAAAUCAAACUAAGAACUUUUCUUUGAAGUUCUCUGUGGUUUUGCUCUCUGACGCUCCUUGGUGGCACUGUCUGACUUUAAUAUGCCUUCACCCCACGUCUGCUGGGGUGAGGCCAUUAGGGCGGUGUAAACAGAGGUGGCUUAUCUGCAGACUGCUAGUGUUCCACACGUGAAAGGCAACAAGUGCCCUUUAAAGGACAGUAAGAGCAAACAGCCCAGACCUCCAGCAACAGCCAGAUCCCCAAGACUAGCAGCAGUCGGGGUGUGAGGAGGGGUUCACAGCUGUAGGAUCUUCACACGCUCAAGAUUCCCAGGAAGGUGACCGACACAGGGCACCAGGGCAGGCAGCCGGGAACAAACAAGCAGCCUCCUUCUACAGAAUGGUGUGAACCCAUGACCCUGAGAAUGGGUGAUGAUGGUGCACAACUUAAUCCCAGAACUCAAGAGGCAGAGGCAGGUGGAUCUACGAGUUCAAGACAAACAUGGUCUGCAGACUGAGGUCCAGGACAGCCAGGGCUUCAAAGAGAAACCCUGCGUCAAAAAACCAAAAAGAAAAAAAGAUAUAUAUAUUUGUGUGAAUAUAUACACAUGCAUGCAAAUGCCCAAAGAAGUGGAACGAGAGCAUUGGGCACCUGGAAAGUUGCCUGAUGGGGGUGACGGGAACUGAACCUACAAGAGUUGUAUGUGUCCUUAACCUCUCUAGCCCUGAGAUUUCUAGUUCUUAAUGUAUAUUUGUGGAUUCCAUUUAAGAAACUUCUAAUGUAGGGUGUGCUCUAGCAAAUUUUUCCUAAUUCUUUAAGAGGACCAUUCUGAAGUAGACGUGGUUUAUCAUGUGAAGAAUUUUGAAUCACUAAGUUGGACAUGGUUGCCUAUAUUCCCAGCAUUUGGCAGGCUGAGUAUCAAGAAUUCAAGGUCAUUGUCUUAGUUACUUUUCAAUUGCUGUGACAAAACACCAUGUCCAAGACAACUUAUAGAAGAAAGAGUUUAUUUCAGGCUUCCAAUCCAGAGACUGAGUCAGUGAUCAUUAUGUGAGGAGCUUGACAGCAAGCAAGCAGGCAUAGUGCUGGAGCAGGAGCUGAAGGCUCACAUUUGGAUCCACAGGGGGCAGGGAGGGAGAGAGAGAGAAAGAGAGAGAGAGAGAGAGAGAGAGAGAGAGAGAGAGAGAGAGCUAGUUGGGAAUGGUUUGGACCUUUAAAACCUCAAAGCUCACCUCCAGUGACAUUCCUCCUUCAAAAAAGAUCACACCUCUUAAUCCUUCCCAAACAGUUCCAACAACUGCAGAUGCAAUGUUCAAACACAGGUCUAUAGGAGUUGUUUUCAUUCAAAUUACCACAAUCAUUGGCUACAUGGUGGUGAGUUUGAUGCAUAGUCUUAGGUAUGUGAGACUCUGUCUCAGAAAACAAAAUAGAAUUUAGAAUCAGAAUUUCUGACUUCAGCAUUCUCGUUGUACCAUUCCCAACACCUCAACUGCUUUCCCAGACAUUAGGUAUUCUUCCCACACAUUCUUCUUACCCCACCUCUUCCAAAACUUAGCUGUUCUUGUCCAAAAUAUGGUGGAGAGAUUCUGCAGCCUCUCAGGGGCCUCAGCUUACUGUAUUUGGGGAGACAUGAGUAUAACUUUAUUAGGGAUGCUGCAAUAUAACUCACAGGAGUGG
Molecule: non-coding RNA, 1674 nt
Organism: Myodes glareolus (Bank vole)
Lineage: Eukaryota; Metazoa; Chordata; Mammalia; Rodentia; Cricetidae
Source: RefSeq, a predicted model, not a curated record